CCUACGGGAGGCAGCAGUGGGGAAUAUUGGGCAAUGGGCGCAAGCCUGACCCAGCAACGCCGCGUGAAGGAAGAAGGCUUUCGGGUUGUAAACUUCUUUUGUCAGGGACGAAGCAAGUGACGGUACCUGACGAAUAAGCCACGGCUAACUACGUGCCAGCAGCCGCGGCAAUACGUAGGUGGCAAGCGUUAACCGGAUUUACAGGGUGAAAAGGGCGUGUAGGCGGGACUGCAAGUCAGAUGUGAAAAACACGGGCUCAACCUGUGGCCUGCAUUUGAAACUGUAGUUCUUGAGUACUGGAGAGGCAGGCGGAAUGCCUAGUGUAGCGGUGAAAUGCGUAGAUAUUAGGAAGAACACCAGUGGCGAAGGCGGUCUGCUGGACAGCAACUGACGCUGAGGCGCGAAAGCGUGGGGAGCGAACAGGAUUAGAUACCCGAGUAGUC
RNAcentral lists this ribosomal RNA (443 nucleotides) under uncultured bacterium. RNAcentral describes it as "partial 16S ribosomal RNA". It matches the Rfam family "Bacterial small subunit ribosomal RNA", at positions 338 to 795 of the family's 1533-position model. The record is from RNAcentral.